This 268-nucleotide long non-coding RNA is filed under the name Linum usitatissimum (flax). RNAcentral describes it as "long non-coding RNA (LUSI_LNC005702)". The record is from RNAcentral. Lineage: Eukaryota; Viridiplantae; Streptophyta; Magnoliopsida; Malpighiales; Linaceae.
UAAUAAUGCAAUAUACAACGAAUAUUCUCGAAAUUGCCAAGCACAAAACAGUAAGUAAAUAACAUCAGGAUUUACGUAGUUCCCCUCCAAUGCGGAGAGUACAUCUACGGCAGCAGCGACAGCUAUGAGCACUUCUUCACUAUAACAAGGUAGCUACAAGGUGAUCCGAGCCGAUCCAAAAAUGUGUCUCUCAAGUGUUUCCCAACCCCGAAACAACUACUCACUAUUUUAUCGCUCACAAGAAAGUAUUCCUACCACGGUAAAACAU